GACGAACGCUGGCGGCGUGCUUAACACAUGCAAGUCGAGCGGUAAGGCCCUUUCGGGGGUACACGAGCGGCGAACGGGUGAGUAACACGUGGGUGACCUGCCCUCAGCUCUGGGAUAAGCCUGGGAAACCGGGUCUAAUACUGGAUAUGACUCCAUGACGCAUGUUGUGGGGUGGAAAGCCUUGUGCGGCUGAGGAUGGGCCCGCGGCCUAUCAGCUUGUUGGUGGGGUGAUGGCCUACCAAGGCGACGACGGGUAGCCGGCCUGAGAGGGCGACCGGCCACACUGGGACUGAGACACGGCCCAGACUCCUACGGGAGGCGGCAGUGGGGAAUCUUGCGCAAUGGGCGAAAGCCUGACGCAGCGACGCCGCGUGAGGGAUGACGGCCUCGGU
RNAcentral lists this ribosomal RNA (392 nucleotides) under uncultured bacterium. Its description in RNAcentral is "bacterial SSU rRNA". It matches the Rfam family "Bacterial small subunit ribosomal RNA", at positions 28 to 423 of the family's 1533-position model. The record is from RNAcentral.